AAGUGGUAAUAUUGAAAACGAAAGUAAACAAAACAGGUGCCCGAAAUUUCGACCGAGAUAAAUAAUUUACUACUUAACUUCUAAUUUUCAUGAUUUAAGUAAUGCAAAUUCACUGACACCAAAAGACAAACAUAAUUUGAUUCAAUUGUUGCACAUACCAGAAGCUUGCAGCCAGGAUUGAUGAUACACAUGUUCCUGGCUUUCCGGAAUGGUUCAACCUGAAAUAUGAGGAUGAUGACGAUAUAUACACGGCAAGGCUAGAAGAGGAGUUCCAGGAUGGUGACGUUUUGAUCCGUGUUUAGAAUAUAAGAAAGGUGGUGAGACAAAUGCAUCUUGACAUGCUGUUUAAUGAUUAGUGAACGACAUUAACAUAACAGAAGGGGAGCUAUUACCACAUGUUUUAAGUCAGAAUACUUGCAUUUAUGUUGUACAUUUUUUUUUGUCAGUGUGUGAUUUUACAGACAUGUUGUGUUUGACUGUAGUUUGCCAUUAUUGUUUAUGGCAAAUGUGAUUGUUUAUAUAGAGGAUAUUUGUUGGAUUCGGUGGAAUAUCGAUUUUAUUUCACGAGUGAUCAUAUAAAAUAUGUAUUUUUUAUGAUCACGAGUGAAUUAAAAUGGAUAUGCUAUCGAAUCCAACAAAUUUUCUUUUCAUUUUAAGCUUUUUUCACCGUUUAUUUACAUUGUAAAAGAGUUAAACUGUAUAAUUUCGCUGGAUUUAUGACGUCAUUUCGUUGAAAAAAUGACGUCAUUUCACAAUAAAACAGUGAAAAAUAUCGACAUUUUUCACUGUUUCAAACAGUGAAAUACCAGUUUUAUUUCACUGAUAUUUUUCUAUAAACCACCUGAAAGCAUAAAAUAAAUUAUUUUCUUACUUUGACAUUCACAUAUUUAACAUUAAUCAGCAGACAACUUGUAUUCUGCAUCAUAAUAUCACAUUAAUAAUUUCAACACUCAAAAUGUGUUUUUUACAUGAAAAAUCGCCUUUUUUUUCAAUUUUCAAAGGGAGAUAACUCCGCUAAUAGUCAACCGAUUUUCUUUUUUUUUACAGUGUUGUACUUGUUAUGUCAUUCCUUUCAAAACUAUACAUAUAAUCACUAAGUUCUCACCAAAGAACUAAUUAAAUAGCUUGAAAUGUGUUUUUAGCAGACAAAUCACAUUUUUUGAAAUUUUCAAAGGGGGAUAACUCCACUUACGUUCAACCGAUUUUCAUUUUUUUUUUCAUUUUUGUACUUGUGAUGUAAUUCCCUU
Molecule: long non-coding RNA, 1247 nt
Organism: Dreissena polymorpha
Lineage: Eukaryota; Metazoa; Mollusca; Bivalvia; Myida; Dreissenidae
Exons: 3
Source: RefSeq, a predicted model, not a curated record